Molecule: ribosomal RNA, 497 nt
Filed under: uncultured bacterium
Lineage: Bacteria
Description: partial 16S ribosomal RNA
Rfam family: Bacterial small subunit ribosomal RNA
Source: RNAcentral
GAUGAACGCUGGCGGCGUGCCUAAUACAUGCAAGUCGAGCGAACAGACGAGGAGCUUGCUCCUCUGACGUUAGCGGCGGACGGGUGAGUAACACGUGUAUAACCUACCUAUAAGACUGGGAUAACUUCGGGAAACCGGAGCUAAUACCGGAUAAUAUAUUGAACCGCAUGGUUCAAUAGUGAAAGACGGUUUUGCUGUCACUUAUAGAUGGAUCCGCGCCGCAUUAGCUAGUUGGUAAGGUAACGGCUUACCAAGGCAACGAUGCGUAGCCGACCUGAGAGGGUGAUCGGCCACACUGGAGCUGAGACACGGUCCAGACUCCUACGGGAGGCAGCAGUAGGGAAUCUUCCGCAGUGGGCGAAAGCCUGACGGAGCAACGCCGCGUGAGUUAUGAAGGUCUUCGGAUCGUAAAACUCUGUUAUUAGGGAAGAACAAAUGUGUAAGUAACUAUGCACGUCUUGACGGUACCUAAUCAGAAAGCCACGGCUAACUACGUG